CAGCUGCUCUUCACAAAUUUGAAAUCAAUCACCGACGACUGCCGAUCACUACAUGGAUCCCAAUCCGAAUAGUCUUUUAAAUGUGACCAUAUUGCAAGCAUUAUGCACCAGGAUUUGUACAGACUUGUUAGACCCCGGUUGCAUGAUCCCGGUUAUUUUCCCGACCAAAGAGUUAUACUGUAUUUGAAUGUUGCGGGUUUUGGGGUUGCCGCGUACAUUCAAACAUCUGAGCUACGGGCCGAUUUAAUAACGGCAUUAGUUGAAAGAUGGAGCCCGGAGACACAUACAUUCCACCUCCCAUGUGGGGAGGUAACCAUUACGCUGCAAGACGUAGCAGUCCAACUAGGGCUGUCUAUUGAUGGAGAACCAGUGACCGAACUUGGAAAAUUACGCGAUCCGUGGGGCACUUGCGAGCGGUUACUUGGAAGGGUGCCCCCGAGCAGCGAAGAUGAACGUUUAACAUAUAUUAAAUUUAGUUGGUUGAAAGAAAACUUCGAGCAUCUUCCAAGCAGUCCAACGCAGAUGGACAUUAUGUACGCUGCAAGAGCGUUCAUUCUGCAACUUAUUGGUGGGAUACUUUUGCCUGAGGUAAAUCAAAAUAAAGUCUCGAUAAUGUAUCUCUCAUUGUUAAAGGAUCUCGAGCAUGCUGGAAGAUUUAGUUGGGGCUCGGCAGUGUUGGCAGCCUUAUACCGCGAGCUUUGUCGAGCGACAAAGCCGACUACGAAAACAAUGGGCGGUUGCUGCCUUCUACUACAGUCUUGGGCAUUAUACCGAAUGCCAUUUCUUGCAUCAGUGGGCCAUCAACCCUAUGUCUGGCCAUUUGUUAAUUGAUGGGCAACUGUACCGGGAAUUGGACGAUCCAAGCCACUAACUAUGUACCAUAUGAUGAUAGAGACUCAUUCCGGCGAUGGGUUUAUAUGGAUGCCAUAUACUCAAGAAGAUCUCGCGGCACUCAUACCGUCAUGGGUGGUCGAGCAGCAACACGUGUUCGUGGCUAAUGUGCCGUUGAUUAAUUUUCGUAUGGUGGAGUGGCACGAUGGAGGUCGGGUUUUGAGGCAAUUCGGUUGCGCACAGCCUAUCCCGAACCCUCCCGUUGACAUCUCAGAUGUCCACGGAAUGGAUAAAAAGGGACCGACUCGGGAGUCUUUAAAUUGGGCAGAGAAACAUGAACCAUAUAUCUUUCUGUGGAAUCAGCGACAUUUGAGGCGCCCUCCCUUGUAUGUCUUAGAGGGAGGGUUCUCUCCUACGCCCGAGUACGCAGCAUGAUGAGGAGGCUGGGAUUUUGCAGGCGCAGAAGGAACUUGAUUCUACGUUAGUGGAGUAUGAGUUUUGCUUGGUGGGAUAUUUUCUUAUUGCAAGUGUUACUCACUUCCAGCAAUGAGAAGUAUGAUGGCGAAUCUAUGACAUCUUGUUAAAGGGGUCUAGAUAUCAGAUACGGGGAAAAGAGGUUCCUAUUUUGAUUUCAUAUCGGGUUAUUAAUGGGGCUCCAAGAACUUUCAAUAAUCAUCUAAUGAUUCAUCGUUUGGAGGCCGGGGACGAUCUGUUUAAGGUUCCGUUAAUUUAUACGAUUUUUUGGGUUCAAGUGCAUGAUGUCCUGCUGGGGUUUUUCAACGAGUCGUUAGCAAAACAAAUUGGUGAUUUCCUUGGAAGUUUUCUACAAUAUGAUAGCAAGAAUGUGGGAAGGGGCAUAUGUGCUUAUUUACGCAUAAGGGUUCAACUGGAUAUUAGGAGUUCCCUAAAAAGGAAAAACAAGGUGAUGUUUCGUUUGGAAAGUGUACUUAUGUCAAUUUUAAGUAUGAGUGGCUGUAAACUCUAAUUUAUAUAGGUUUUUUUAAUAGUUUAUGUCACCUUUUUACUUAAAAAUAAUAUUAAACCCGAGUAUUUGUUUACUAAUUAGGCAAAUUUUAUUUAUAUUUCAAUAACGAGCAUGAUUUAAUGAAGAAUG
Molecule: RNA transcript, 1945 nt
Organism: Gossypium raimondii (Peruvian cotton)
Lineage: Eukaryota; Viridiplantae; Streptophyta; Magnoliopsida; Malvales; Malvaceae
Gene name: protein MAINTENANCE OF MERISTEMS-like
Exons: 5
Source: RefSeq, a predicted model, not a curated record